RNAcentral lists this ribosomal RNA (495 nucleotides) under uncultured bacterium. RNAcentral's name for it is "partial 16S ribosomal RNA". It matches the Rfam family "Bacterial small subunit ribosomal RNA", at positions 28 to 505 of the family's 1533-position model. The record is from RNAcentral.
GAUGAACGCUGGCGGCGUGCCUAAUACAUGCAAGUCGAGCGAACAGACGAGGAGCUUGCUCCUCUGACGUUAGCGGCGGACGGGUGAGUAACACGUGGAUAACCUACCUAUAAGACUGGGAUAACUUCGGGAAACCGGAGCUAAUACCGGAUAAUAUAUUGAACCGCAUGGUUCAAUAGUGAAAGACGGUUUUGCUGUCACUUAUAGAUGGAUCCGCGCCGCAUUAGCUAGUUGGUAAGGUAACGGCUUACCAAGGCAACGAUGCGUAGCCGACCUGAGAGGGUGAUCGGCCACACUGGAACUGAGACACGGUCCAGACUCCUACGGGAGGCAGAAGUAGGGAAUCUGCCGCAAUGGGCGAAAGCCGGACGGAGCAACGCCGCGUGAGGGAUGAAGGUCUUCGGAUCGUAAAACUCUGUUAUUAGGGAAAAAAAAAUGUGUAAGUAACUAGGCACGUCUUGACGGUACCUAAUCAGAAAGCCACGGCUAACUACG